RNAcentral lists this ribosomal RNA (253 nucleotides) under uncultured bacterium. RNAcentral describes it as "partial 16S ribosomal RNA". It matches the Rfam family "Bacterial small subunit ribosomal RNA", at positions 524 to 776 of the family's 1533-position model. The record is from RNAcentral.
UACGUAGGGUGCGAGCGUUGUCCGGAAUUACUGGGCGUAAAGAGCUCGUAGGUGGUUUGUCGCGUUGUUCGUGAAAACUCACAGCUCAACUGUGGGCGUGCGGGCGAUACGGGCAGACUUGAGUACUGCAGGGGAGACUGGAAUUCCUGGUGUAGCGGUGGAAUGCGCAGAUAUCAGGAGGAACACCGGUGGCGAAGGCGGGUCUCUGGGCCGGAACUGACGCUGAGGAGCGAAAGCGUGGGUAGCAAACAGG